RNAcentral lists this long non-coding RNA (372 nucleotides) under Elaeis guineensis (African oil palm). Its description in RNAcentral is "long non-coding RNA (EGUI_LNC051861)". The record is from RNAcentral. Lineage: Eukaryota; Viridiplantae; Streptophyta; Magnoliopsida; Arecales; Arecaceae.
UAGUUAAAAUGUCACGAAGACACCUAAUCCAAUGAAAAAGAAAGGUGAUGGGGAGAAAAAGAAAGCAUAAGAAAGGUACGUAUAAAAACUUACUUUCAUUUCUUCUAACAUCUACAAAAAAUGAUGCUAGGAAGCAUCACACACACAUAAAAAAAAAAGAGAAGAGAAAAGAAAGUGCUCCUCCAAACCAACAGUGUCUCGACCACACCAAGAUCAAGAUCCAAGAUAAGGAAGGCAUAAUCCUCAUCCGAAGAAAAUGCCCCAACUUCCUCAUCACUAUUCUCAGGGCAGAGGCGGUGCAGAUCCAACUACGACAUUAGGUGUUUUAUGCAGGCUUUGUUGUUUUCAAAGUCCUGAAUAAACCCAACUGUA